CGAUCAAAUCUCGCUGAAACACCAGUUCUUGUUUGAUCAGCCGAGUUAAGCAGUGUCGAGCCCGGUCAGUACUUAGAUGGGUGACAGCUUGGAAAUACCUUGUACCGUAAG
This is a non-coding RNA of Acanthosepion pharaonis, 111 nucleotides long. The record is from the annotation of a GenBank genome assembly. NCBI's taxonomy places the organism in Eukaryota, Metazoa, Mollusca, Cephalopoda, Sepiida, Sepiidae.